This 468-nucleotide ribosomal RNA is filed under the name uncultured bacterium. Its description in RNAcentral is "partial 16S ribosomal RNA". It matches the Rfam family "Bacterial small subunit ribosomal RNA", at positions 28 to 507 of the family's 1533-position model. The record is from RNAcentral.
GACGAACGCUGGCGGCGUGCUUAACACAUGCAAGUCGAACGGAAAGGCCCUGCUUUUGUUGGGUGCUCGAGUGGCGAACGGGUGAGUAACACGUGAGUAACCUGCCCUUUACUUUGGGAUAACUUCAGGAAACUUGUGCUAAUACCGUAUAGGAUCUCCUGCUGCAUGGUGGGGGUUGGAAAGUUUCGGCGGUUGGGGAUGGACUCGCGGCUUAUCAGCUUGUUUGUGGGGUAGUGGCUUACCAAGGCUUUGACGGGUAGCCGGACUGAGAGGGUGACCGGCGACAUUGGGACUGAGAUACGGCACAGACUCCUACGGGAGGCAGCAGUGGGGAAUAUUGCACAAUGGGCGGAAGCCUGAUGCAGCAACGCCGCGUGCGGGAUGACGGCCUUCGGGUUGUAAACCGAUUUCGCCUGUGACGAAGCGUGAGUGACGGUAAUGGGUAAAGAAGCACCGGCUAACUACGUG